Molecule: ribosomal RNA, 138 nt
Filed under: uncultured eukaryote
Lineage: Eukaryota
Description: partial 18S ribosomal RNA
Rfam family: Eukaryotic small subunit ribosomal RNA
Source: RNAcentral
AUAAAAAACCAACGCCCUUCGGGGCUCCUUGGUGAAUCAUAAUAACUUAACGAAUCGCAUGGCCUUGCGCCGGCGAUGGUUCAUUCAAAUUUCUGCCCUAUCAACUUUCGAUGGUAGGAUAGUGGCCUACCAUGGUGG